UACGAAGGGGGCUAGCGUUGCUCGGAAUCACUGGGCGUAAAGGGUGCGUAGGCGGGUCUUUAAGUCAGGGGGGAAAUCCUGGAGCUCAACUCCAGAACUGCCUUUGAUACUGAAGAUCUUGAGUUCGGGAGAGGUGAGUGGAACUGCGAGUGUAGAGGUGAAAUUCGUAGAUAUUCGCAAGAACACCAGUGGCGAAGGCAGCCCCCUGGGCCAAUACUGACGCUCAUGCACGAAAGCGUGGGGAGCAAACAGG
This 253-nucleotide ribosomal RNA is filed under the name uncultured bacterium. Its description in RNAcentral is "partial 16S ribosomal RNA". It matches the Rfam family "Bacterial small subunit ribosomal RNA", at positions 524 to 776 of the family's 1533-position model. The record is from RNAcentral.